GACGAACGCUGGCGGCGUGCCUAAUACAUGCAAGUAGAACGCACAGUUUAUACCGUAGCUUGCUACACCAUAAACUGUGAGUUGCGAACGGGUGAGUAACGCGUAGGUAACCUGCCUGGUAGCGGGGGAUAACUAUUGGAAACGAUAGCUAAUACCGCAUAAUAUUAAUUAUUGCAUGAUAAUUGAUUGAAAGAUGCAAUUGCAUCACUACCAGAUGGACCUGCGUUGUAUUAGCUAGUAGGUGAGUUAACGGCUCACCUAGGCGACGAUACAUAGCCGACCCGACAGGGUGAACCGCAUCAGCGGGACUGAGAGACGGACCAGACUCCAACGAGUGGAAGCAACAGCGAAUAUCCGCAAAUGCACGCAAGCCAGACCGAGCAACGCCGCGUGAGUGAAGAAGGUGUUCGGAUCGUACAGCUGUGUUGUAAGCGAAGAAAGCGUGUGAGAGUGGCAACUGAUCACUGUGAAGGUAUGAAACAAGAAAGGGACCGCAAGAUCCGU
RNAcentral lists this ribosomal RNA (504 nucleotides) under uncultured bacterium. Its description in RNAcentral is "partial 16S ribosomal RNA". It matches the Rfam family "Bacterial small subunit ribosomal RNA", at positions 28 to 506 of the family's 1533-position model. The record is from RNAcentral.